GACGAACGCUGGCGGCGUGCUUAACACAUGCAAGUCGAACGGAAAGGCCCUGCUUUUGUGUGGUUCUCGAGUGGCGAACGGGUGAGUAACACGUGAGUAACCUGCCCUUGACUUUCGGAUAACUUCAGGAAACUGCGGCUAAUAUCCGAUAGGAUCUCCUGCUCCAUGGUGUGGGUUGGAAAGUUUCGGCGGUUGGGGAUGGACUCGCGGCUUAUCAACUUGUUGGUGAGGUAGUGGCUUACCAAGGCUUUGACGGGUAGCCGGCCUGAGAGGGUGACCGGACACAUUGGGACUGAGGUACGGCCCAGACUGGUAGGGGAGGCAGUGGUGGGGAAUAUUGCACAGUGGGCGGAAGCGUGAUGCAGCAACGCCGCGAGCGGGAUGACGGCCUUCGAGUUGUAAACCGCUUUCGAAGGUGACGAAGCGUGAGUGACGGUAAUGGGUAAAGAAGCACCGGCUAACUACGUG
Molecule: ribosomal RNA, 468 nt
Filed under: uncultured bacterium
Lineage: Bacteria
Description: partial 16S ribosomal RNA
Rfam family: Bacterial small subunit ribosomal RNA
Source: RNAcentral